CGGCCGGGACGACCCGGCCGGGCACGGCAUGCAGGGACGACCCUG
RNAcentral lists this non-coding RNA (45 nucleotides) under Brachybacterium phenoliresistens. RNAcentral describes it as "Guanidine-II sequence". It matches the Rfam family "Guanidine-II riboswitch aptamer (mini-ykkC)". From Rfam's summary of the family: Simpler in structure and has fewer highly conserved nucleotide positions than the ykkC-yxkD leader. Despite this each of its two stem-loop structures directly bind free guanidine. Therefore, mini-ykkC RNA motif represents a distinct class of guanidine-sensing RNAs. Lineage: Bacteria; Bacillati; Actinomycetota; Actinomycetes; Micrococcales; Dermabacteraceae. The record is from Rfam by way of RNAcentral.